CUGACGGAGCAAUCUCGCGUGAGGGAUGACUGCCUAUGGGUUGUAAACCUCUUUUUUCAGGGAGGAAUUAAUGACGUUACCUGAAGAAUAAGCAUCGGCUAACUCCGUGCCAGCAGCCGCGGUAAGACGGAGGAUGCAAGUGUUAUCCGGAAUCACUGGGCGUAAAGCGUCUGUAGGUGGUUUAAUAAGUCAACUGUUAAAUCUUGAAGCUCAACUUCAAAAUCGCAGUCGAAACUAUUAGACUAAAGUAUAGUAGGGGUAAAGGGAAUUUCCAGUGGAGCGGUGAAAUGCGUAAAGAUUGGAAAGAACACCGAUGGCGAAGGCACUUUACUGGGCUAUUACUGACACUCAAAGACGAAAGCUAGGGUAGCAAAUGGGAUUAGAUACCCCAGUA
RNAcentral lists this ribosomal RNA (394 nucleotides) under uncultured diatom. RNAcentral's name for it is "bacterial SSU rRNA". It matches the Rfam family "Bacterial small subunit ribosomal RNA", at positions 383 to 792 of the family's 1533-position model. The record is from RNAcentral. Lineage: Eukaryota; Bacillariophyta.